RNAcentral lists this ribosomal RNA (498 nucleotides) under uncultured bacterium. RNAcentral's name for it is "bacterial SSU rRNA". It matches the Rfam family "Bacterial small subunit ribosomal RNA", at positions 28 to 507 of the family's 1533-position model. The record is from RNAcentral.
GGCUAACGCUGGCGGCGUGUCUUAGCCAUGCAAGUCGAGCGGACUUAUGGGGUAACUUAUAAGUCAGCGGCGGACGGCGGAGUAACACGUAGCUAACCUACCCUCUGGACGGGGAUAACCUACCGAAAGGUGGGCUAAUACCCGAUGUAGUCAUCCUGUAUAGGGGUGAUGAAAGGUGGGCUUCUGUUUACAAGCUCAUGCUGGAGGAGGGGGCUGCGGCCUAUCAGGUAGUUGGUAGGGUAAUAGCCUACCAAGCCGAUGACGGGUAGCCGGCCUGAGAGGGUGACCGGCCCGAGGGGCACUGAGAUACGGGUCCCACUCCUACGGGAGGCAGCAGGCUAGAAAUUUGGGCAAUGGGGGAAACCCUGACCCAGUGACGCCGCGUGCAGGAAGGAGCCCUUCGGGGUGUAAACCGCUGUCGUGUAGGGAGAAGGGUACUAAGGUGAACAAUCUUAGUACUUGACGGUACUACAGGAGGAAGCCCAGGCUAACCUCGUG